RNAcentral lists this ribosomal RNA (253 nucleotides) under uncultured bacterium. RNAcentral's name for it is "partial 16S ribosomal RNA". It matches the Rfam family "Bacterial small subunit ribosomal RNA", at positions 524 to 776 of the family's 1533-position model. The record is from RNAcentral.
UACGAAGGAGGGUAGUGUUGUUCGGAAUCACUGGGCGUAAAGCGCACGUAGGCGGCGCGUUAAGUCAGGGGUGAAAUCCUGGAGCUCAACUCCAGAACUGCCUUUGAUAUUGGCGUGCUCGAGUGUGGGAGAGGUUGGUGGAACUCCGAGUGUAGAGGUGAAAUUCGUAGAUAUUCGGAAGAACACCAGUCGCGAAGGCGGCCAACUGGACCAUUACUGACGCUGAGGUGCGAAAGCGUGGGGAGCAAACAGG